UCUGCGGUGGGUACGGGCAGACUAGAGUGAUGUAGGGGAGACUGGAAUUCCUGGUGUAGCGGUGAAAUGCGCAGAUAUCAGGAGGAACACCGAUGGCGAAGGCAGGUCUCUGGGCAUUAACUGACGCUGAGGAGCGAAAGCAUGGGGAGCGAACAGGAUUAGAUACCCUGGUAGUCCAUGCCGUAAACGUUGGGCACUAGGUGUGGGGGACAUUCCACGUUUUCCGCGCCGUAGCUAACGCAUUAAGUGCCCCGCCUGGGGAGUACGGCCGCAAGGCUAAAACUCAAAGGAAUUGACGGGGGCCCGCACAAGCGGCGGAGCAUGCGGAUUAAUUCGAUGCAACGCGAAGAACCUUACCAAGGCUUGACAUGAACCGGAAAGAUCUGGAAACAGGUCCCCCACUUGUGGUCGGUUUACAGGUGGUGCAUGGUUGUCGUCAGCUCGUGUCGUGAGAUGUUGGGUUAAGUCCCGCAACGAGCGCAACCCUCGUUCUAUGUUGCCAGCACGUGAUGGUGGGGACUCAUAGGAGACUGCCGGGGUCAACUCGGAGGAAGGUGGGGACGACGUCAAAUCAUCAUGCCCCUUAUGUCUUGGGCUUCACGCAUGCUACAAUGGCCGGUACAAAGGGUUGCGAUACUGUGAGGUGGAGCUAAUCCCAAAAAGCCGGUCUCAGUUCGGAUUGGGGUCUGCAACUCGACCCCAUGAAGUCGGAGUCGCUAGUAAUCGCAGAUCAGCAACGCUGCGGUGAAUACGUUCCCGGGCCUUGUACACACCGCCCGUCAAGUCACGAAAGUUGGUAACACCCGAAGCCGG
RNAcentral lists this ribosomal RNA (813 nucleotides) under Pseudarthrobacter chlorophenolicus. RNAcentral describes it as "bacterial SSU rRNA". It matches the Rfam family "Bacterial small subunit ribosomal RNA", at positions 620 to 1430 of the family's 1533-position model. The record is from RNAcentral. Lineage: Bacteria; Bacillati; Actinomycetota; Actinomycetes; Micrococcales; Micrococcaceae.